This 360-nucleotide ribosomal RNA is filed under the name Triticum aestivum (bread wheat). Its description in RNAcentral is "partial small subunit ribosomal RNA". The record is from RNAcentral. Lineage: Eukaryota; Viridiplantae; Streptophyta; Magnoliopsida; Poales; Poaceae.
AUGAUUGGAGGCGGGGUACAAGUAGACCCGCAGUACGGAAUGACAAUAGUGGAUCUCAACAAUCUUGGGUACACAAACAAACCAUUCGUCUUUGUCAAUGAGGUGGCGCAUGUUUUCUAUGUGAAGGACAUGUCUACCCAACCGAGAAAAAGAAAAGGUAAGGAAGCGAAUACAUCAUACGAUGAGCCAAAGCGCCACACAGUUCUUUCAAGGAAAAGAAACAUCGUGGGUGUGGAGGAGAAGACAGACAUGUCAAAAGAUUAUGAAAAGUUUCAUGAAAUUCCUCCCUUCACAUUGAAGACUGACCCAAGCAUCCUGUUAAAUGAUGAAGAUUAUACAUGGUUAUGGCGCAAUAAGCAA